UAGGGAAUCUUGCACAAUGGGCGAAAGCCUGAUGCAGCGAUGCCGCGUGAGGGAUGAAGGCCUUCGGGUUGUAAACCUCUUUCAGUAGGGAAGAAGCCACGGGACACCGUGGUGACGGUACCUGCAGAAGAAGCCCCGGCUAACUACGUGCCAGCAGCCGCGGUAAAACGUAGGGGGCUAGCGUUGCCCGGAUUCACUGGGCGUAAAGCGGGUGUAGGCGGUUCUUUAAGUCGGAUGUGGAAUCCAGCGGCCCAACCGCUGAAUUGCAUCCGAUACUGGGGAACUUGAGGACGGUAGAGGUCGGUGGAAUUCCAGGUGUACCGGUGAAAUGGACAGAUAUCUGGAGGAACACCAGUGGCGAAGGCGGCCGACUGGGCCGAUCCUGACGCUGAGACCCGAAAGCCAGGGUAGCGAACCG
This 418-nucleotide ribosomal RNA is filed under the name uncultured bacterium. Its description in RNAcentral is "bacterial SSU rRNA". It matches the Rfam family "Bacterial small subunit ribosomal RNA", at positions 355 to 775 of the family's 1533-position model. The record is from RNAcentral.